Phascolarctos cinereus (koala) is the source of this 3076-nucleotide non-coding RNA. The record is from RefSeq and is a predicted model, not a curated record. Lineage: Eukaryota; Metazoa; Chordata; Mammalia; Diprotodontia; Phascolarctidae.
UUGAGUUCAGCCGGCGGAACGCCUGACACUGGGAAGGUUUUUUUGGGGGGGUUAUCGGGGGGAGACUAACCUUCGGGGACAACACAAUUCCGGUGCCCCGGAUCCUCGGCAGGGAACCAGGGCGGGGGGUGUGUGGGGAGAUGAGCAAAGAGAGCAGAGAAAGAGGAAGAGAGACCCCCCCCCAGCCCUCCCGGUCCACCCUUCUGCAGUCCCCACCAAGGUGGCCUGGGAGCUCGCAGCUCGCUGGGCUGCGGGGAGUACGCACAACACCCCCCUCCUCUAGAAGUCCCCCCAGCCCCCUCCGCAGUACCCCCCAGUCCAGCGCGGACGGUCGAGGGGGAGGCCAGGCCGGGAGCGCGGGCCCGGAGCGCCGGGGGCGGAAGCGCGAAACGGUAGAGACCUACUUUUGGCUAGCUUUCUGGCCCUCGCCUUGGAUCUCAUGUUGUCGGCUGGCUGAAUCCCUCUCCUCCUCCUUGACUCCCGAAGCUGCUACACGCUAUCUUCAUCUCCCCAGCAUUGUCAAUUCCGGACACCUUCGCACAUGCGCACAGAGCCUUCAAUCUGACACCCCUCGCCGGGGCCAAAAAAACUUUCCAAUGUAUUCACCAUCAUCACCAUCACCAUCAUCACCAUCAUCAUCAUUGGCGGCGGAGGCGCUGAGUACGGGCUGGAGCCCGGACGCGCUUUCACCGGAUCAAGCGGCUUUCGCCACCUUUCUUCUCUUAGGGCUCGGGUUCUUGGAGGACGCCCCACCCCCCGGCGAGUGUCUAAGAAUCUGUACUCCCACCCACUCCCAAACUAGAGGGGCGUCCUGUUGUGUCCUCUCCUGCCCCGUCUUACCCCGUCCCCUUCACAACCCGGGUAGUUCGAACCCCGCUUCUCUGCCUGCCCGCUCUGGUUUGCUCCCUGCCCGCAUCAGCUCCUUCCAACAUCGGUUGGCUCCGCAAGCCUUGCCGGGUCCCCCCGUUUCCUCACCAACCCCAGUGGCCCCUAGUCGGGACUGGCCCAUCCCUCCCUCAGCGUUAUAAACAUAAAUAGAGCAACUAUGUUUUGCUAGUCUCCGGGCUGCUGAGCUUGCUAUCCCCAGGCCCGAGUGGAGGUCUUUUGGGGAGAGGGGAGACGGGAACGGGAAAUUGGCGAGAGUCGCUGGAGAACCUCUGGUGCGCCGAGGACCUGGUGGGGUCACCAAAGGGACUGAACCGAUGCAGGAAUCGGCAGAGCUCAGAGAAGUCUAGGGUGGAGUAGAGUGGGAAAGGGUUGUAGUUGAAAGCUCUUGGUUGCCCCCCCCGGCACACUGGAACCUUUCUACACCGCCCAGCCCUGAUUCCAGGUGCCCCGAAGCCAGCUCUCCCUAGCACCUAUGCCUCUUGGCCGGGCCUGGGACCAAGGCGGGAGGGACUGACUUGCCUGUCCCCAGUCCCCCUCAUUCUUUUUCCUACAACUAUUCGCAGACCUUGCGGCUUUCUCUGCUGGGGCAAUCCAGCGGAGGUGAGCACCAGGCUGGGGAGUGGGAGUAAGGGACGGCUGCAGUGUUUAGGAGAGGACAGAUCUGUGGAGGAGCUCUGGGCAAGGGUUAGUCUGGGAAGUGUGUAUGUGGGGGGAGCACUGUACCCCCCCACCUGCUCAAGGGAAGCUCGGAGCUGGAACCUUUGGGGCAGGGAACCGGUAAGGCUAGCAAGGGUCGAGUUGAGGAAACCAAGGAGAGGGGUCCCUCCACCAGGCCAGCAGGUGGAGGGCUCCCACAGGAAGCCCAGUGUCUGGCCAGCAAGGAGAGGCACUGAAGCCGAGAGACCAAUUGGGAGAGACUGCAGGACGAGCCGGCUCAGAACGUAUGCUCCUCCCAACUCCCUCCCCAGGAAAACCUGCCCAAGGCAUAAAGUCGCUCCCAAAAUGCUUCUCAGAUCCAUGAGAGGACUCUGUUCUAGCCUUCAAUGGAGCUCAUGCAGUUUUCUCCACCUAAGCCCCGAGGGGAAAGCCCUGGCAUCUCUAGGAGGGUUCUGGAAGCAGUUCGAGAGUUAGCUGCCACCCAGCAUUUGGUGGGGCGGGGCCCACGCGUUGCCCGCGGCCUCAGGGCCACAAGAGCGAUUCUUCCUGCAGGUGGCCCCUGGGAUCUGGGCCCGCCCACUUUCCCGUUCGCCCGGCCCAGCUCCAGCCCCGCCCACCUAGCUCUCCUCCAGUGACACCCUUCCCCUCUGGGCAAGACCCAGUUACUUGGAUGGAUCUUGACCUCCUAGACAUCUGGGCGGCUUCAUGAGAGAAAGAGAGCUGAGGGACAACACAUAUUCCUGGACCUGGAGGCCUGACACAAAUGAGACAAACACUAAGGACUGAAAAUGUUUGAGACCCUUGAGCCAGGGACUGAGCAGGAUAUAGUCAGUUAAUCAUUCAUUCAACAAACUGUAACCUUGCCCAGUUAGGCAAACCUCAAAUGACUUCACUGGGGAAGGAAGGGGAAAGGGCAGGCUUCCCUUGUGGUUUUUCUUGCCAAGUACUUUUUCCAGCAAAUCCUGGGUGCUUCAGGGAGAAGAUAAAAGAGGUAGGUCCCUGCCCAUCAAGGCUUUAGCUAGUCCCUGUGAUCUGCAGCCUGCCAUUUUUCCUCUGUUCCCUUCAUCUAGAACAAUUUUAGGAACUUCAAAAUCUUGACUUUGCAAAGUAUGAGUUCGUCGUUUUUUUAGAAUGUAAACUCUUUGAGGGCAGGCAUUGUUUUGUCUUUGAAUCCCAGUACCUGGUACAGUGCAUGGUGCACAAUUGGCAUUUAAUAAAUGCUUAUUUAUUUUUACUUGUAUUUAUGCUUUUUACUUUUACUCUGUAUUUAUUUAAAUGUGUACCAGUUGUUUCUACUGUGAGAAUGUAAGCCGUGUGAGGCAGGAAUUAUUUCAUUUUGCCUUUGUAUUCCCAGUGCCUGAUAGUAAUACAUGCUUAAUAAAUGCUUAUUUCUUUUUUAUGGAUGCUCUUUAUAUUUAUUCCAAAUGUAUAUAUAUACAGUUAUUCUCUCCUGUUAGAACAUAAACCCUUUGAAGGCAGAAAUUGUUUCACUUUUGUCUUAUCUCCAAUGCCUAGGACAGUGUCCAGUACA